This 946-nucleotide non-coding RNA is filed under the name Hemiramphus far (blackbarred halfbeak). RNAcentral describes it as "12S ribosomal RNA". It matches the Rfam family "Bacterial small subunit ribosomal RNA". The record is from RNAcentral. Lineage: Eukaryota; Metazoa; Chordata; Actinopteri; Beloniformes; Hemiramphidae.
CAAAGGUUUGGUCCUGUCUUUUCUGUUAAUUUUAAUUGAACUUACACAUGCAAGUAUCCGCAUCCCCGUGAGAAUGCCCUACAGUUCCCUGCUCGGGAACAAGGAGCUGGUAUCAGGCCCAAUAUUAUUAGCCCAUAACACCUUGCUCAGCCACACCCCCAAGGGAUUUCAGCAGUGAUAAACAUUAAGCCAUAAGUGAAAACUUGACUUAGUUAAAAUUAAGAAGGCCGGUAAAACUCGUGCCAGCCACCGCGGUUAUACGAGAGGCCUAAGUUAAUAGACACCGGCGUAAAGAGUGGUUAAGGAGAAAUCAAAACUAAAGCCGAAUAACCUCAAGACUGUUAUACGUUACCGAGGACAAGAAGCCCAACUACGAAAGUGGCUUUAAUUUCCCCGACUCCACGAAAGCUGUGAAACAAACUGGGAUUAGAUACCCCACUAUGCUCAGCCAUAAACCUAGAUAAAAUUUUACAUCUAUUAUCCGCCAGGGUACUACGAGCGCUAGCUUAAAACCCAAAGGACUUGGCGGUGCUUCAAACCCACCUAGAGGAGCCUGUUCUAGAACCGAUGAUCCCCGUUAAACCUCACCCUCUCUUGUUUUUACCGCCUAUAUACCGCCGUCGUCAGCUUACCCUGUGAAGGUCUGAUAGUAAGCAUAAUCAGCACAACUCAAAACGCCAGGUCGAGGUGUAGCAUAUGAGAGGGCAAGAAAUGGGCUACAUUCCCUAAAUCCGGGCAUACGAAAAACAUAAUGAAAAAUAUGUCAUGAAGGAGGAUUUAGCAGUAAGCAAGAAAUAGAGAGUCUCGCUGAAACUGGCCAUGAAGCGCGUACACACCGCCCGUCACUCUCCCCGAAAAAACUAAACAAAUAUAUAAAACCCUAAUCUUAACAGAGGGGAGGUAAGUCGUAACAUGGUAAGUGUACCGGAAGGUGCACUUGGUAAAU